GCUGUUUGAGGAGACAGAAUAUGGCGGAGAAGAAGUGGGAACAAAACUACAAUUGUUCGAUAAUCCCAGUUUUGGAGGACAUACGGAGAAUUUCAGCGCAAGUUGUGACGACUUAACACCCUACUUUCCCAAUGGUGUUGCGUCAAUCAUAGUAGAACAAGACUCAGGACCUUGGCAAGUUUUUACUGAAGUUCG
Molecule: non-coding RNA, 195 nt
Organism: Pocillopora verrucosa
Lineage: Eukaryota; Metazoa; Cnidaria; Anthozoa; Scleractinia; Pocilloporidae
Source: RefSeq, a predicted model, not a curated record